RNAcentral lists this ribosomal RNA (486 nucleotides) under uncultured bacterium. RNAcentral describes it as "partial 16S ribosomal RNA". It matches the Rfam family "Bacterial small subunit ribosomal RNA", at positions 30 to 507 of the family's 1533-position model. The record is from RNAcentral.
AUUGAACGCUGGCGGCAUGCCUUACACAUGCAAGUCGAACGGCAGCACGGGUGCUUGCACCUGGUGGCGAGUGGCGAACGGGUGAGUAAUACAUCGGCACAUGUCCUGUAGUGGGGGAUAGCCCGGCGAAAGCCGGAUUAAUACCGCAUACGAUCUACGGAUGAAAGCGGGGGACCUUCGGGCCUCGCGCCUUGGGGUUGGCCGAUGGCGGAUUAGCUAGUUGGUGGGGUAAAGGCCUACCAAGGCGACGAUCAGUAGCUGGUCUGAGAGGACGACCAGCCACACUGGGACUGAGACACGGCCCAGACUCCUACGGGAGGCAGCAGUGGGGAAUUUUGGACAAUGGGCGAAAGCCUGAUCCAGCAAUGCCGCGUGUGUGAAGAAGGCCUUCGGGUUGUAAAGCACUUUUGUCCGGAAAGAAAUCCUUGGCCCUAAUACGGUCGGGGGAUGACGGUACCGGAAGAAUAAGCACCGGCUAACUACGUG